This 73-nucleotide transfer RNA is filed under the name Ailuropoda melanoleuca (giant panda). It matches the Rfam family "tRNA". From Rfam's summary of the family: Transfer RNA (tRNA) molecules are approximately 80 nucleotides in length. Their secondary structure includes four short double-helical elements and three loops (D, anti-codon, and T loops). Further hydrogen bonds mediate the characteristic L-shaped molecular structure. tRNAs have two regions of fundamental functional importance: the anti-codon, which is responsible for specific mRNA codon recognition, and the 3' end, to which the tRNAs corresponding amino acid is attached (by aminoacyl-tRNA synthetases). tRNAs cope with the degeneracy of the genetic code in two manners: having more than one tRNA (with a specific anti-codon) for a particular amino acid; and 'wobble' base-pairing, i.e. permitting non-standard base-pairing at the 3rd anti-codon position. Lineage: Eukaryota; Metazoa; Chordata; Mammalia; Carnivora; Ursidae. The record is from Rfam by way of RNAcentral.
ACCUGGCUGGCUCAGUUGGAAGAGCAUGAGACUCUUGAUCUUGGGGUCAUGAGUUUGAGUCCCAUGUUGAGUG